RNAcentral lists this unclassified non-coding RNA (345 nucleotides) under soil metagenome. Its description in RNAcentral is "partial contains 5.8S ribosomal RNA, internal transcribed spacer 2, and large subunit ribosomal RNA". The stretch from base 1 to 120 matches the Rfam family "5.8S ribosomal RNA", at positions 35 to 154 of the family's 154-position model. The record is from RNAcentral.
GAUGAAGAACGUAGCGAAAUGCGAUAACUAGUGUGAAUUGCAGAUUUCAGUGAAUCAUCGAGUCUUUGAACGCACAUUGCGCCCCCUGGUAUUCCGGGGGGCAUGCCUGUCCGAGCGUCAUUGCUGCCCUCAAGCACGGCUUGUGUGUUGGGCCUCCGUCCUCCUCCCGGGGGACGGGCCCGAAAGGCAGCGGCGGCACCGCGUCCGGUCCUCGAGCGUAUGGGGCUUCGUCACCCGCUCUUGUAGGCCCGGCCGGCGCUUGCCGACACAUCAAUCUUUUUUCCAGGUUGACCUCGGAUCAGGUAGGGAUACCCGCUGAACUUAAGCAUAUCAAUAAGCGGAGGA